Molecule: long non-coding RNA, 935 nt
Filed under: Mus pahari (shrew mouse)
Lineage: Eukaryota; Metazoa; Chordata; Mammalia; Rodentia; Muridae
Description: lncRNA (MGP_PahariEiJ_G0004695.1)
Source: RNAcentral
GCUCCUGGGAGUCAGGUUUUGAAGGGUGACCCCCAACUCGGAUGCGUCUAGCUCCCUCCAGAUCUCCACGCCAACUCAGACUGAGAGGUCUAUGGGACAGAACCUGAGUGGGUAUUUUCGGGUUUGUUUGUUUUUCUUCACUUGGGUGCAGACUGGCUUUCAAUUCCCUGAGAUGCUCCUGCCUCGGCUCCCUGAAAGCGGGAAUCACAGACGAGCGUCACCACGCGGGAACCUAUUUGCUGUUUUGAAGAUGUGACACAGUGGUUUAGUUCCUUACCCCGUUCUGCUGCGACGACCUCAUUCUAAAUGGGUCAGCAGGCUGAAAAGGACGCGGCUGUUGAGGGGCACAGCCCCGACCCCAGCUCAGAUCCCCAAAAUAUCCACGAUGACACGAAGGCUUGGAGGACGGACGCUCACUAAUGAUUCUAAUCUCCAGAGCGUGCUAGGGGCUUCGCCUGCGGCCGUGGACCAUCUCUUCGGGUAGUGUGCAUGCACUGUAAGAGUUGUGUACCUUUUCCAGCCUUUCUCUGCCGCAUUUAAAACUACUUUGGGUGCAUUCUGCUGCUACUUUUUCUGUGAGAUUUCCCGCUGCUGUUGAAAAAGUGAAAAAGAUGGAAAGUAGGAGGGAUCAGGUUUUCAUUUCGAGGUUCUGAACGUUCUUUUUGGCCUUGUCUUCUCCGGGAAUCGAGAAAAGGUGACUCUGUAAGAUAGGUUCUUUAAGAUAGGUGGCUAAGAAAAAGGGCCUUCGGAUCAGAAUGCAGAACUCUAAGCCCAUCCUCCAGCACCAUGUCUGCCCGGAUGCUGCCUUGCUUCUCUCCAUGACGAUAAUGGGAUAAUGGAUUAAACCUCUGAAAGUGUAAGCCAGAUCCAAUGAGAUGUUUUCCUUUAGAGGAGUUGCUGAAUGGUGUCUCUUCAUAGCAAUAAAACCCCCUGAG